AAACGAGGAAGGAGGCAAAAGGAGACACAUCGGAGAGCUAAAACAGGAAAUAAGCAACUUUAAGGCAGGAAAACCAAACUUUAUUUGAAAGCAAAUAACUCAAAUAUAAUUAAAAUCUAGAUUACUAAGUAGAAUUUAAGUCUGUUUUAUUUUUAAAAAUGCAGGUUGUAAUAUAAAUAUUUCCAGAGGACAAAAAGCAAACUCACUGAGCUAAUUUUAGCACAGGGUGGAGGAGGAAGAGGAGGAGGAGGAGGGUGUUCUCAUUUAACAAUGGUGACUUAGCACAUCACCAAAUGGUGGAGAACAGAAUUACAGACGACUACAAUCGUGACCUCGUUGAUCCUCAAUGAUAAAUUUACACUGCAAAAACACAAUCUUAAGAAACUAAGAUUAAGUAAGGAAGAAAAGUAGGGGUUUUUUUUUUAAAGAAAAAGGAGUUUUUAGGGUAAAAUUAUCAUUUCAAGAAAGUUUUUCAAUAGCAAAAUAUCAGUAAUCCAAAAAUAUGUUUUAUCUUAAACCAUAAAUUCUUCAUAAUAAUUUUUUUUGUCCAUUUUUUGUUUUACUUAUUUAAAGGGUAACCAAACCCUAAAUCAAGUUUUUUGGGCUUUUGACCUGUUCAAAUGGGGCUUUAAAAGUACUAACUGUGACCAUUUUUGACAAAAUAAAUUGAACUAAAAAUAAAACUGUUGGUAUGCUGGUCCCUACAGGUUGAAGUGAGGUAUUACAGUUGAAAUUGAUAAAUGGUCAAACUAAUGAUCUGCAGCUCCAGUGAUGGUAACAGUAAGUUAAAAAAUAUGCAAUAAAUUUGUUUAAAAAAAAAACAACAACAACAACAUCCAUCUAGGAAAAUCAUGUCUUUAUGUUACAUGGAAAGUUGUAACUCAUUAAACUUUAUACAAUUAAUUUAAAUGAAGAUUUAAAUAAAAAAAAAAAAAAAAACACAGUCACCUAUACUCCUGUUCCCCAGCCCCAACCCUCUGACUGGAUUUUCAAAUUUCGGCUGUGGGUGGAGUCAGCCUCCAACUUCUCUGUUUGGUUACUCUCUAAAGCACGUUUAUAAGUCAAGGCCCGGGGGCCGGAUCCGGCCCUCCAGCAAAGGCCUGCAGUGCUCCCGGGCAUCGCUGUACCCAAACAGAAGUGAGCUGAGCUCCGAGAGGAGGGAAACCUCAGCGAUGCAGAGCAGUGUGAACUCUGCUGCAGGCUGAGUCAUCGGAACCACAGCGAUCACACAAGCUCCCCAGGGUACGCUUUUUCCCCUUUAACAGCAGUCUAACAAUCUGCACAAGGGUCAUUUUUGGCAGACAGAUGCUUACAGAGCUUAAUGUUGGAUUAUGUUUCCAAUGAGCCUGUUAGUGAGUUUAUGAGGACAAAAAAACUCUCUAACAUCAAGAGAUUUAAAACUGCAGCACCUCUAAAUAACCUUUCAUAAAGUUAGUAUUAGUUUUUCAUUCAUCAAAAUCUAUUUGAUGACACUAAAGAUGCGAAAAUUGAACACUCCCCUCCCCCCACCUAAAAAAAAACAAAAAAAAAACCCUAAUAGCUUUUUAAGCUUGGCACAGCUUCUCCGAGAAAAUUACAUCUUCAGGACAAACGAGACAUUCUAGAGGACAUUACUUGUUGCGUUUCCAUCUCACUGGAUGACGUCCAAGAAAAGCUCUCCUCCUUCGUCCUUUGGCAUAAAGCAAGAGAUUAAAUUGUGUUAAGAUGCAGGAAAAGAAAUCUAAUUUAGAGUAGAAGCACUAUUGAGAUCAAAGUGCACUAGCUGGAUCGUAAAAUCUUUACUGUGACAUGGACUAAACCCCUAAAGUGAAGCAUGGGGGGGUAAGUAUGAUGGUACAUACCUGAAAAAGGGAUUACAAUAUUUAGGGAAUUCGAUUAGCAAGAAACUGAGGAUUAAAUCUGCCUUCAGCAACGAUGAGUAUUGCAAAAUAUUUAGUGAUAGCAUAGUAUUUAAGGC
RNAcentral lists this long non-coding RNA (1957 nucleotides) under Oryzias javanicus (javanese ricefish). RNAcentral's name for it is "lncRNA (ENSOJAG00000014679.1)". The record is from RNAcentral. Lineage: Eukaryota; Metazoa; Chordata; Actinopteri; Beloniformes; Adrianichthyidae.